AGCAGCCGCGGUAAUUCCAGCUCCAAUAGCGUAUAUUAAAGUUGUUGCAGUUAAAAAGCUCGUAGUUGAAUUUCGGGAUCAGUUGGUCGGUCGUGCCUCGGUACGUACUGGUCAAAUUGAUUCCUACCUUCUGACGAACCACGAUGUCAUUAAUUUGGUGUCGUGGGAAAUCAGGACUGUUACUUUGAAAAAUUAGAGUGUUUAAAGCAGGCUCGCGCUUGAAUACAUUAGCAUGGAAUAAUGAAAUAGGACGUUUGAUUCUAUUUUGUUGGUUUCUAGGAUCGACGUAAUGAUUAAUAGGGAUAGUUGGGGGCAUUAGUAUUCAAUUGUCAGAGGUGAAAUUCUUGGAUUUAUUGAAGACUAACUACUGCGAAAGCAUUUGCCAAGGAUGUUUUCAUUAAUCAAGAACGAAAGUUAGGGGAUCGAAGACGAUCAGAUACCGUCGUAGUC
RNAcentral lists this ribosomal RNA (450 nucleotides) under uncultured Glomus. Its description in RNAcentral is "SSU rRNA". It matches the Rfam family "Eukaryotic small subunit ribosomal RNA", at positions 569 to 1025 of the family's 1831-position model. Lineage: Eukaryota; Fungi; Glomeromycota; Glomeromycetes; Glomerales; Glomeraceae. The record is from RNAcentral.